Molecule: ribosomal RNA, 312 nt
Filed under: Triticum aestivum (bread wheat)
Lineage: Eukaryota; Viridiplantae; Streptophyta; Magnoliopsida; Poales; Poaceae
Description: partial small subunit ribosomal RNA
Source: RNAcentral
AUGUCCGGGCGCGGCAAGGGAGGCAAGGGACUCGGCAAGGGCGGCGCCAAGCGCCACCGGAAGGUGCUGCGCGACAACAUCCAGGGCAUCACCAAGCCGGCCAUCCGCCGCCUGGCUCGCCGUGGAGGCGUGAAGCGCAUCUCGGGGCUCAUCUACGAGGAGACCCGCGGCGUGCUCAAGAUCUUCCUCGAGAACGUCAUCCGCGACGCCGUCACCUACACCGAGCACGCCCGCCGCAAGACCGUCACCGCAAUGGACGUCGUCUACGCCCUCAAGCGCCAGGGACGCACCCUCUACGGCUUCGGCGGCUAG